UUGAUUCAAACCAUUGCAAUGUAGACAUCAGGAUUCCUGUGUUACUAUGGUAUCAGACUCAGAAAUCAAAUUCUGAGGGUACCGAUCCUAGCAUGUUUCUUCACCAUCACCACCAUUACUUCAUCUUCAACAAUCUCCAUUACCAUUGAUUCAUCAUCUUCUGCUGCUGCAACUGUAGAUCGACAUUUGAAGGUCGAUUUUAAUAAUUCAUCUCAGAUUUGAGGCUAAUUCGACUCAACGGUGCGUUUUAUCUACAUCUACAGCAACGAUCUGCUGUUCUUGAUUCCUGAUGUCGAGAUAGUCUGAGCGUGUUCUAGUUCGCUACACCAGUUAGGGCGAAAACUUAAAGUCGUUCCACUAAUUGGAUUCAGCAGAAGAUUGAGAAGUUGUUGGUCUCAUAUCUUACUUCAAGGCAGUCCUCACAUAUGUGUUGAAGAAUAUUGCGUUUUUUAAUGGUGUUUCUGCGAUUGAACAUUGAAUUGGAGUUGCUGAGUUACAUUAAGUACAAGUUGGAGUUCUUUUGUUGAGUUUGUAUACAUUCAGAUGCAACCUAGUUUUCAGCUUGCAUAUGUGUUCAAUGUGCAACCUGUGGUUCUUCUACUUUUCAUGCUCUUAGAAUAAUUCAGUUGAAGUUUCAACUUCAAUGGUGGUUUUUACUUUUGUUUCAUAUGUGAGUAAAUAAUUCAACCUGCUAUGGUCUUAUGGAGAAUAAUCAAAGAUUAAUAAUACAUUUGAAGACAAGUCAUGUUGGAGUACAACAUAGAUUGUUCAAUAAAUUGCUUCAGCUAUUGUGUGAAUUGAAUGAGACAGGGUCCAUCUGGCGGGAAGAUUGCUUGUGUUGCAGCUGUGCCCAAUACUUCACAUUUGACAACAGUGUGUGCUGCUGGAUGUUUAAAUGCUCAUAGGUUACAGUUUGAAUUGGUCCAAAUGACUUUUUAUGUGUUGAUGGAUGGAGCUGCAGUGCUUGAAUUUCAUAUUUCUACUGCAAUUUUCUGUUUACAAGGGUUAACUGUGCUGCAAGUGAUUGUGUGUGCAGCUGGUACACAAUUCUUUUUUUGGAUUUCGUCGUUACACAAUAUGGGUACUUUAAGUGCUUUCAGUAAACUGAUUCAACUGCUCUCUCAUGUCAUUAGUGUAUGUAAGCUGGUGGUGUUCAUAGUAUACUUCUUAUAUGAAUGGUA
Papaver somniferum (opium poppy) is the source of this 1181-nucleotide long non-coding RNA. RefSeq lists it as uncharacterized. The transcript is spliced from 2 exons. The record is from RefSeq and is a predicted model, not a curated record. NCBI's taxonomy places the organism in Eukaryota, Viridiplantae, Streptophyta, Magnoliopsida, Ranunculales, Papaveraceae.